CGGGGAAUAUUGCACAAUGGAGGGAACUCUGAUGCAGCGACGCCGCGGGAGUGAUGAAGGAGUUCGUUUCGUAAAACUCUGUUCUAUGGGAAGAAAAGGACUGUACCAUAGGAGAAAGCUCCGGCUAAAUACGUGCCAGCAGCCGCGGUAAUACGUAUGGAGCGAGCGUUGUCCGGAAUUAUUGGGCGUAAAGGGUGCGCAGGCGGCUUUACAAGUUGGAUGUGAAAUAUUGUGGCUCAACCACAAACGUGCAUCCAAAACUGCAAAGCUUGAGUUAAGGAGAGGUAAGUAGAAUUCCUGGUGUAGCGGUAAAAUGCGUAGAUAUCAGGAGGAAUACCGGUGGCGAAGGCGACUUACUGGACUUAAACUGACGCUCAGGCACGAAAGCGUGGGGAACAAACAGG
This 404-nucleotide ribosomal RNA is filed under the name Fusobacteriota bacterium. RNAcentral's name for it is "Fusobacteria bacterium partial 16S ribosomal RNA". It matches the Rfam family "Bacterial small subunit ribosomal RNA", at positions 355 to 776 of the family's 1533-position model. The record is from RNAcentral. Lineage: Bacteria; Fusobacteriati; Fusobacteriota.